Molecule: ribosomal RNA, 539 nt
Filed under: uncultured Geobacteraceae bacterium
Lineage: Bacteria; Pseudomonadati; Thermodesulfobacteriota; Desulfuromonadia; Geobacterales; Geobacteraceae
Description: bacterial SSU rRNA
Rfam family: Bacterial small subunit ribosomal RNA
Source: RNAcentral
GAGUUUGAUCCUGGCUCAGAACGAACGCUGGCGGCGUGCUUAACACAUGCAAGUCGAACGUGAUCCGGAGCUUGCUCCGGUGAAAGUGGCGCACGGGUGAGUAACGCGUGGAUAAUCUGCCCUGGUAUYUGGGAUAACAUCUCGAAAGGGGUGCUAAUACCGGAUAAGCCUACGGACUCUUCGGAGUCUGCAGGAAAAGGUGGCCUCUAUUUAUAAGCUACCGUAUCAGGAUGAGUCCGCGUACCAUUAGCUAGUUGGUGGGGUAAUGGCCUACCAAGGCGACGAUGGUUAGCUGGUCUGAGAGGAUGAUCAGCCACACUGGAACUGAGACACGGUCCAGACUCCUACGGGAGGCAGCAGUGGGGAAUUUUGCGCAAUGGGGGAAACCCUGACGCAGCAACGCCGCGUGAGUGAUGAAGGCUUUCGGGUCGUAAAGCUCUGUCAGAGGGGAAGAAAUGAGUCUGGCUAAUAUCCAGAUUUCUUGACGGUACCCUCAAAGGAAGCACCGGCUAACUCCGUGCCAGCAGCCGCGGUAAUAC